AGUGAACGCUGGCGGUAGGCCUAACACAUGCAAGUCGAACGGCAGCACAGUAAGAGCUUGCUCUUACGGGUGGCGAGUGGCGGACGGGUGAGGAAUACAUCGGAAUCUACUUUUUCGUGGGGGAUAACGUAGGGAAACUUACGCUAAUACCGCAUACGACCUACGGGUGAAAGCAGGGGAUCUUCGGACCUUGCGCGAUUGAAUGAGCCGAUGUCGGAUUAGCUAGUUGGCGGGGUAAAGGCCCACCAAGGCGACGAUCCGUAGCUGGUCUGAGAGGAUGGUCAGCCCCACUUGGACCUGGGCACCGUCCCGGCUCCCUCGGGAGGCAGCAGUGGGGAAUAUUGGACAAUGGGCGCAAGCCUGAUCCAGCCAUACCGCGUGGGUGAAGAAGGCCUUCGGGUUGUAAAGCCCUUUUGUUGGGAAAGAAAAGCAGCAGGUUAAUACCCCGCUGUUCUGACGGUACCCAAAGAAUAAGCACCGGCUAACUUCGUG
RNAcentral lists this ribosomal RNA (492 nucleotides) under uncultured bacterium. Its description in RNAcentral is "partial 16S ribosomal RNA". It matches the Rfam family "Bacterial small subunit ribosomal RNA", at positions 29 to 507 of the family's 1533-position model. The record is from RNAcentral.